GCGGCUUAACUUCGCCAUACGUAUCAUGAAUAGUAUCCAACUACUUCCUGUACUUGACUUUUAAGUCAAUAGUUUAUCCUGUGUAUUAUGUGUCAUAUUGCAUACAACUUUAAAAUACUAGAAUAAAGCUUGUACUUACUGUUUACACUUGUGUAUCUUAUGCUACCAUGCACGUACUCUUAUCUUCUUUCUUUCUUCGUAGUCUCCAAAAAUU
Molecule: long non-coding RNA, 214 nt
Filed under: Mytilus galloprovincialis (Mediterranean mussel)
Lineage: Eukaryota; Metazoa; Mollusca; Bivalvia; Mytilida; Mytilidae
Source: RNAcentral